RNAcentral lists this ribosomal RNA (261 nucleotides) under uncultured Staphylococcus sp. RNAcentral's name for it is "partial 16S ribosomal RNA". It matches the Rfam family "Bacterial small subunit ribosomal RNA", at positions 541 to 802 of the family's 1533-position model. Lineage: Bacteria; Bacillati; Bacillota; Bacilli; Caryophanales; Staphylococcaceae. The record is from RNAcentral.
UUAUCCGAAAUUAUUGGGCGUAAAGCGCGCGUAGGCGGUUUUUAAGUCUGAUGUGAAAGCCCACGGCUCAACCGUGGAGGGUCAUUGGAAACUGGAAAACUUGGGUGCAGAAGAGGAAAGUGGAAUUCCAUGUGUAGCGGUGAAAUGCGCAGAGAUAUGGAGGAACACCAGUGGCGAAGGCGACUUUCUGGUCCGUAACUGACGCUGAUGUGCGAAAGCGUGGGGAUCAAACAGGAUUAGAUACCCUGGUAGUCAAGGGCG